This is an RNA transcript of Daktulosphaira vitifoliae (grape phylloxera), 1739 nucleotides long. RefSeq lists it as uncharacterized. The record is from RefSeq and is a predicted model, not a curated record. The transcript is spliced from 10 exons. NCBI's taxonomy places the organism in Eukaryota, Metazoa, Arthropoda, Insecta, Hemiptera, Phylloxeridae.
AGUGCACCAAAAGUAUCUAUCUAAGCUUUCCUAUCUAACGAAAAUCAUGAAGGUUGAUACUUAUCCUAUGUUUAAAAUUUUCUCCGUUGCCUAUUAUUACUCGAUUAUUUUCGGAUGGAUGCCCAUUCAUGUACCAAAAAAUGCCAAAGAUCGAAAAAACAAAAGCUCUUGGUGUAUACCUGGCAUAAUAUCGUCAAUAUUUUUCAUCAUUAUCCUGGUAGGAUCCAGCGACAUGACUAAUAGAUUAAGGCAAAUAACAAAAUUCCGGGGAAACAUUUCAUCAAGUAAUCUCACUGUACACGAUCGUAUUCAAAUUAUAGCUGGGCCUAUAUUUAUUCAUUCGCUGACAAUAAAUCAAUUGUUUAUUAUUGUUACAUUUGUAGCAAUGCCAUAUCAUUUGUUGGAACUUAGGAAAACAUUUGAUCUAUUUAAUUAUUUUUUCAAUCGACAUGGAGCGAUCAUUGGAAUAGAAGCUAAAAUGAACACUAUAGUUUAUAAAGUUAAUAUGGAAUUAAUUUUACUAAUAAUACUCAAUUUUUUACUAUCAAUAGCUUCGGUUUUAGGAAGCUUUAAUCGUAUGAGAUUGUCCUUCUUUUUGAGAUUCCUUAUAUCAGCGGAUAAUGUCCUGAAAAAAAUGGAAGCCUUUUCGAUAUGUGUUCAAUUUUGGUGCGUUAGUUCAACAUUAGCAAAAUGUUUUAAAUGUCUCAAUGAUUCUUUAAGUAGACUUCAUAUAAGAAAAAAUCAAGCAACGGCUACGCCACCAGGUUUAUUUCUUGUACCAGACCCUUAUACAUCACCGGCAAAUAUGGUUAUAUUUUUAAAACAUAUUAAAAAUGCUCAUGUCGAUCUGUGUUCUAUCAUAGACCAAGUGAACAAUGUUUAUCAGGUGCUGAACUUACUAUCCAUUAUCAUUACUUUAUUAAGUUUAUUACCUCAUUUGUUUGUAUUUGCCAUUACCAUGGCAUUUUCAAACUUCAGGAUGACACCUCACAUAUCAUUAAUCCUGUGGCCCGUACAAUACUUCAUGAAAAUGUUAAUUACCUGCAGAAUAGCAUCCAUUGCUACAUCCGAGGCUAAACGAACAAAAACACUUUUGAAGUCAGAAAUUCAUAAAAAUCUCACGGCUCAAGAGAAAUGUGAAGUUGAGUAAAUUAAUUAUGUAAUAUGUUUAUAAUUAUAAUUUUAGUAGAGUAACCUUUGGUCAAGAAACAAUACAUAAUAUUUUAACAGUUUGGCAGAAAUUACAAUUGUUUUUCCCUUCGCUGAGUACUAAGUGAAACGUCUUACGUAAAGAGUAAACAUGAUCGCUGUAAUGAUCAAUAGAAACUAAUUCUGAGAAAAAAAAUCUAGCUUGUGCUUUGGUACAAGGCUCGUGGUCCAAAGUAAUAUUUUAUAACUAUAUAUAUUGUAUUAACUGUGAAUAGAUUAGAUGGGUUACUUGUUAACGCGUUUGGAAAGACAUUUGAUUUCUUUUUGACGUUUAAUGCAUUUCCGGUUUUUAACGAUCAUAUAUUUAGUGCAAACAAAAUAUCCAUAGAUCUCUUCUCUUUUAUCACUUGGAACAGGGAGACAUUAAAAAUAAAAUGCUUGUAUACAUAUGUUAAUCACAGAAACACGAAAGUCCGAUAAUAAAAAGUUUCUUAGAAAGAAUUAACAGAAAAAAAAUUGAAUUUUCGCUAUGUGGAUUUAGCAUUUUAAAUGAUAAAUAUUUUUUAUCUACAUUCGUGGCAGUAGCAGGA